AUUGAACGCUGGCGGCAGGCCUAACACAUGCAAGUCGAGCGAGCGGCGGACGGGUGAGUAAUGUCUGGGAAACUGCGUGAUGGAGGGGGAUAACUACUGGAAACGGUAGCUAAUACCGCAUACCCUCAGAUGUGCCCAGAUGGGAUUAGCUAGUAGGUGGGGUAACGUCUCACCUAGGCGACGAUCCCUAGCGGGUCUGAGAGGAUGAACAGCCAAACUGGAACUGGGACACGGUCCAGACUCGUACGGGAGGAGGCAGUGGGGAAUAUUGCACAAUGGGCGAAAGCCUGAGGCGGCCAUGCCGCGUGUGUGAAGAAGGCCUUCGGGUUGUAAAGCACUUUCAGCGGGGAGGCGUUACCCGCAGAAGAAGCACCGGCUAACUCCGUGCCAGCAGCCGCGGUAAUUC
RNAcentral lists this ribosomal RNA (406 nucleotides) under uncultured bacterium. RNAcentral's name for it is "partial 16S ribosomal RNA". It matches the Rfam family "Bacterial small subunit ribosomal RNA", at positions 29 to 526 of the family's 1533-position model. The record is from RNAcentral.